GAAAAAAUGGCAACGCUCACAAUGUUAUUGAAAAAUGUGGCUGAAAAAUUCCCUACCCGCAACGCAGUAUCUGUUUCGGGAAGAUUCAUCGUCACGCAUAAAAGGCUACAACAACUUAUCGAACAAGCCGCGUCUCUACUCGUUGCUGCUGGUAUUCAGCCCGGUGAUGUAGUCGCUCUCACAUUUCCCAAUACUAUCGAGUUUGUGGUUAUGUUUCUAGCUGUGAUUCGAGUUCGAGCCACAGCAGCGCCAUUGAAUUCAGCGUAUAUGCCUGAAGAAUUCGAGUUUUAUUUAUCAGAUUCUGAGUCUAAACUGUUGUUAAUUGCGAAAGAAGGAAAUAAGGCAGCUGAAGCAGCGGCUGCAAAGCUCAAUAUUACUCGGAUUAAGGUGUCUGUGCCCAGUUCCGAUUCCGAUGUGAUUCUCAGCCUGAGUAUUCCGUUAUCAGAUUGUGAUUUGGUUUCUGAAAUUGUGAAUGAUCCAUCCGAUGUUGCACUUUUUCUACAUACAUCAGGCACUACCAGCAGACCAAAAGGCGUUCCCAUAACACAGCACAAUUUAGUAUCAUCUGUGAACAAUAUUAAAUCGGUUUACAAACUCACUGAAUCGGACUCUACAGUAAUCGUCUUGCCACUGUUUCAUGUUCAUGGGUUGAUUGCGGGUGAAUAUUACCAAAUUCAAUCAAUUAGUACUCGUAAUUCAUUUUGACCUAAGCAAAAUUUUUGAUACAUUGCAGGAUUACUGAGCUCGCUUGGUGCUGGAGGAUCUGUAACGCUCCCUGCUUCUGGUAGAUUCUCUGCUUCAUCUUUCUGGUCUGAUAUGCUCAAGUCCAACGCCACUUGGUACACCGCGGUGCCUACCAUUCACCAGAUCCUAUUAGACCGUCAUUUCAGCAAUCCAGAGUCUUCUUACCCGAGACUCCGGUUCAUUAGGAGUUGUAGUGCUGCUCUUGCACCAUCCGUAUUGGCACGGUUAGAGGAAGCAUUUGGUGCGUCUGUUUUAGAGGCAUAUGCAAUGACAGAGGCA
This 1023-nucleotide unclassified non-coding RNA is filed under the name Hevea brasiliensis (rubber tree). Lineage: Eukaryota; Viridiplantae; Streptophyta; Magnoliopsida; Malpighiales; Euphorbiaceae. The record is from RNAcentral.